RNAcentral lists this ribosomal RNA (252 nucleotides) under uncultured bacterium. RNAcentral's name for it is "partial 16S ribosomal RNA". It matches the Rfam family "Bacterial small subunit ribosomal RNA", at positions 524 to 776 of the family's 1533-position model. The record is from RNAcentral.
UACAGAGGUGGCGAGCGUUGUUCGGAUUUACUGGGCGUAAAGGGUGCGUAGGCGGUCCUGCGUGUCGGAUGUGAAAUCCCAUCGAAAACGGUGGAACGGCAUUCGAAACUGCAGGGCUGGAGUGCAGGAGAGGAUGGCGGAAUUCUCGGUGUAGCGGUGAAAUGCGUUGAUAUCGAGAGGAACGCCGGUGGCGAAGGCGGCCAUCUGGACUGCUACUGACGCUGAGGCACGAAAGCUAGGGGAGCAAACAGG